This 210-nucleotide non-coding RNA is filed under the name Methylosinus sp. RNAcentral also lists the same sequence under 1 other name. The record is from RNAcentral. Lineage: Bacteria; Pseudomonadati; Pseudomonadota; Alphaproteobacteria; Hyphomicrobiales; Methylocystaceae.
AAUACUCCCGAGGGCGAUGGUCCUUCCAAAUGAAGGUGAAAAGGGAACGCGGUGCGGACGAUCCGUCCAAGGCCGCGGCUGCCCCCGCAACUGUAAGCGGAAAGUCCUCAUCACGACGCCACUGGCGAGGGUCGCGCGCGGCCCAGCCGGGAAGGCGAUGGGAACGUUCGAUCCGCAAGCCAGGAGACCUGCCAUCGACAACUGAUCGCG